RNAcentral lists this ribosomal RNA (709 nucleotides) under Escherichia coli. Its description in RNAcentral is "bacterial SSU rRNA". It matches the Rfam family "Bacterial small subunit ribosomal RNA", at positions 797 to 1533 of the family's 1533-position model. Lineage: Bacteria; Pseudomonadati; Pseudomonadota; Gammaproteobacteria; Enterobacterales; Enterobacteriaceae. The record is from RNAcentral.
GGACCCGGUACGAUGUCGACUUGGAGGUUGUGCCCUUGAGGCGUGGCUUCCGGAGCUAACGCGUUAAGUCGACCGCCUGGGGAGUACGGCCGCAAGGUUAAAACUCAAAUGAAUUGACGGGGGCCCGCACAAGCGGUGGAGCAUGUGGUUUAAUUCGAUGCAACGCGAAGAACCUUACCUGGUCUUGACAUCCACGGAAGUUUUCAGAGAUGAGAAUGUGCCUUCGGGAACCGUGAGACAGGUGCUGCAUGGCUGUCGUCAGCUCGUGUUGUGAAAUGUUGGGUUAAGUCCCGCAACGAGCGCAACCCUUAUCCUUUGUUGCCAGCGGUCCGGCCAGGAACUCAAAGGAGACUGCCAGUGAUAAACUGGAGGAAGGUGGGGAUGACGUCAAGUCAUCAUGGCCCUUACGACCAGGGCUACACACGUGCUACAAUGGCGCAUACAAAGAGAAGCGACCUCGCGAGAGCAAGCGGACCUCAUAAAGUGCGUCGUAGUCCGGAUUGGAGUCUGCAACUCGACUCCAUGAAGUCGGAAUCGCUAGUAAUCGUGGAUCAGAAUGCCACGGUGAAUACGUUCCCGGGCCUUGUACACACCGCCCGUCACACCAUGGGAGUGGGUUGCAAAAGAAGUAGGUAGCUUAACCUUCGGGAGGGCGCUUACCACUUUGUGAUUCAUGACUGGGGUGAAGUCGUACAAGGGUAACAAAUAA